GAAGUUGAAUUAGGGUUUAUGUGAGAUGAAAUCGUCUGAGGAUUUAUGAGAAACUGAAUAGGAAAUCAAGUAAUUGAUGAUGGUUAUUGUGUGUAGAACUCAAAGAAGAUGAGUUAGAAUUUAAUUCUCAAACUUCAUAGAAGAAUUGAAGAAUCCGGGUUUCUUAGAGGAUUAAUUCAAAGUGGAUUUAGUGAUGUACAAGAUGAAUUGAGGACUGGGUUUAGAUGAUUGAGGAACGGGAUGAAGUUAAUUGGUUGAUACGAGUUGUUCGAAGAAAUUAGGGUUUAUGUUCUUCCCCAAAAUAGAAAUUAGGUUUUCAGAAGAAUUGAUAUGGUGAGGUAGCUGUUCAGAGGGUGCUGAAAAUUGGGUAAACCAAUAAACAAUCUUAAUUCUAGUAUUUUGAUUUGAAUCGUUUUAAUUAUUGGAUUUAUGAAUAAGAAUUGAGAUUGGAUAAGUUUAAUUGAGCUAAUGGAGGUUCUGGUUGUGUGUGAUUGGAUUAGAUAAAUGUUAAGAUGUUACAGAGAUGAUGGAGGUGGUAACUGUGAAGAGAAUAUGUUUAAGUUAGGACUGAAUUGUUAUUGCAGAUGGAACAAGCUUGAUAUGGGUGAACUUGAGUUACAUGAUUGUUAACUUAAGAAGGAUAAGAGUGACUGGUGUUUGUGUAGUUGAAAUUGCAGAACUGAAGACUGUUGUGAUGAUGUUAGUUCAGUUAGGGAAUUAGUCUUACAGUUGAUGAUGGUGUGUCUUUAUAUAUGAGAUUGUAAGUGUUGUUCUGGGAAUUUAGGCUGGAAUUAUGAUGACGAUGCUAUUGUAGAGGGAAGAAUAUUACAGGUGGUGAUGGAGAUGUCUGGGUUGUUGGUGUUGAUGAUGUAGAUGGUUGUACUGAGGUACAAGUUGUAGUGGUGAUGUUGAAGUUACAAGGGAUAUCAAUGGCUGGUGGAAGUGUAGAAACCAUAGGUGCUGGUGUUGUUGUAAUGAAAUGGUAGGGGUAUGAGUGUUUGUUUUGGUAAUAUGAAGAAAGGGUUGUUAGAGGAGGUGUUGUCUGUGUAGUGGAAUUUGAGAUGGAGAUAUGUAGCUGUAAAGAAGAUGUUGUUAGAAUGAAAAUGGUGUUGUUUUGUUGGCGACAAUUAAUGGGACAUGAGUGAAUUGUGUAGGUCUGGGAAGUGAUAUUAAAGAGUGUUGCUUAAGUUGAAUUAGAUGUUGCUUAAAGCUGCAAUUGCAGUUUCAGAGACAGAUCAGAGUUGCGUAGCGGAAGCUUCGAGGAGUUGAGUUCGUUAGUUGAUUAACUUCGACUAUGAUUACUAUGUUGUAUAUUUUAUUUGGAAAUUGAAUGAUUAUUGUUAUAUGUAUCAUUUGAGAGAAGUUCUUGUAUAUACAUAUUUUAGAGUGGGGUUAGUUUUUGGGUUUAGUUUUGUAGCAGAUUUCUUAAUGGAAUGUUUAAGUAUAUGAUUUGGA
This is a long non-coding RNA of Papaver somniferum (opium poppy), 1455 nucleotides long. RefSeq lists it as uncharacterized. The transcript is spliced from 2 exons. The record is from RefSeq and is a predicted model, not a curated record. Lineage: Eukaryota; Viridiplantae; Streptophyta; Magnoliopsida; Ranunculales; Papaveraceae.